Molecule: ribosomal RNA, 468 nt
Filed under: uncultured bacterium
Lineage: Bacteria
Description: partial 16S ribosomal RNA
Rfam family: Bacterial small subunit ribosomal RNA
Source: RNAcentral
GACGAACGCUGGCGGCGUGCUUAACACAUGCAAGUCGAACGGAAAGGCCCUGCUUUUGUGGGGUGCUCGAGUGGCGAACGGGUGAGUAACACGUGAGUAACCUGCCCUUGACUUUGGGAUAACUUCAGGAAACUGGGGCUAAUACCGGAUAGGAGCUCCUGCUGCAUGGUGGGGGUUGGAAAGUUUCGGCGGUUGGGGAUGGACUCGCGGCUUAUCAGCUUGUUGGUGGGGUAGUGGCUUACCAGGGCUUUGACGGGUAGCCGGCCUGAGAGGGUGACCGGCCACAUUGGGACUGAGAUACGGCCCAGACUCAUACGGGAGGCAGAAGUGGGGAAUAUUGCAAAAUGGGCGGAAGCCUGAUGCAGCAACGCCGCGUGCGGGAUGACGGCCUUCGGGUUGUAAACCGCUUUCGCCUGUGACGAAGCGUGAGUGACGGUAAUGGGUAAAGAAGCACCGGCUAACUACGUG